This is a long non-coding RNA of Cebus imitator (Panamanian white-faced capuchin), 353 nucleotides long. RefSeq lists it as uncharacterized. The record is from RefSeq and is a predicted model, not a curated record. The transcript is spliced from 3 exons. Lineage: Eukaryota; Metazoa; Chordata; Mammalia; Primates; Cebidae.
CAAGACCAAAAAUUUGAAGCAUGUGCAAAUGAUUUGUAUGUGGAAGGACUACCAGAAAACAUUCCUUUCAGAAGUCCCUCAUGAUACUGAAUUCCAAGGCUGGAAAACAUCAGCAUGAACUUAUUAAUUCUACACGUGAAGAUUCACAACUUGAUAAACCAGCUUCAGGGGGAUAUUGAAAAACAAAGUUUAAUCUUUGAAGAUCUUUUUUAAGACCAAAAAUUUGAAGGACAUGUAAAUGAUCUGUGUGUUGAAGAACUACUAGAAAACAUUCCUUUCAGAAGUCCCUCAUGAUAGGGAAUCCCAAGGCUGGAAAACAUCAUUCAAGUGGGCAAUCAAAUUAAAUUUGUUAU